GACGUAGGGGGCCAGCGUUGCUCGGAAUUACUGGGCGUAAAGGGUUCGUAGGCGGUGCGGUAAGUCGGACGUGAAAUCUCUGGGCUUAACUCAGAGGCUGCUUUCGAAACUGCCGUGCUGGAGUGCGGGAGAGGCGAGUGGAAUUGCAGGUGUAGCGGUGAAAUGCGUAGAUAUCUGCAGGAACACCCGUGGCGAAGGCGGCUCGCUGGACCGCAACUGACGCUGAGGAACGAAAGCUAGGGGAGCAAACAGG
Molecule: ribosomal RNA, 253 nt
Filed under: uncultured bacterium
Lineage: Bacteria
Description: partial 16S ribosomal RNA
Rfam family: Bacterial small subunit ribosomal RNA
Source: RNAcentral